GGCUAGGUGGGUGUCUUCUUCCUCCCUCACCGCUUCAUGUGUGUCCCUCCCAAAGCUGUGGUCUCACUUGGUCAAAGAGGAUGGCCUUCCCCAAACAGAGACAGACUGGUCUUCAGUCGAAGGUAUACGAGUAGCUGCGCUCCUCAGCUAGAACCUCCAAACAAGCUCUCAACUGAAGAGUGAAAGACUCCACUCACGGAUCUUAAUAUGAGCACGCGCCCCAGGCCCUGCCUGUCUCUUUGC
Molecule: small RNA, 243 nt
Filed under: Sorex araneus (European shrew)
Lineage: Eukaryota; Metazoa; Chordata; Mammalia; Eulipotyphla; Soricidae
Description: 7SK RNA (ENSSARG00000019387.1)
Rfam family: 7SK RNA
About the family: 7SK was discovered as an abundant small nuclear RNA in the mid-70s but a possible function has only recently been suggested. Two independent studies have found that 7SK RNA binds the CDK9/cyclin T complex (known as elongation factor P-TEFb). P-TEFb activates transcription by phosphorylating the C-terminal domain of RNA polymerase II.
Source: RNAcentral